Ostrinia nubilalis (European corn borer) is the source of this 226-nucleotide long non-coding RNA. RefSeq lists it as uncharacterized. The transcript is spliced from 2 exons. The record is from RefSeq and is a predicted model, not a curated record. Lineage: Eukaryota; Metazoa; Arthropoda; Insecta; Lepidoptera; Crambidae.
GGCAGAUGCAGCAGAUGUCAACGGAUUUAAAACUGGAGUUCAUAUGACUCCUUGCCAGCGUUGCCAGACGUCCCGAUUUUGGCGGGACGUCCCGAUUUUUAAAUCAAAUUUAAAUGUCCCGCGCGGGACAGGCUCGGUCCCGCUUUUCGGAGAGAGACACUCACUUCACCAGACUAUUGUUUGAAACGCCAUAUUAUUCUAAAGAAUAAAACUUUUUUAAUUUCGA